GUGUGUACUGCGGAGAACAUCGCUGGAACACAUUCUCCGAUUUCAAACAUAAGAACGCUUUCAAUACUUCCGAAAUCAAGUCAAGAAUGCUACAGUAGAAGAGGUUAUGUCCCAUGAGGCGUGAAAGCGAAAAUGAUUAGUGUCAGUCUUCACUAUGGCGAGGAGGCAGUGCUCAGUUUGAACAGAGUGAAGGACCAACUGCUUCCUCAUGACUGACCCCGGCAUUUUAACAUCGAUGGAAACAAGCCACUCGUCCAAGUCAGACCUGACAAAACAUCAAUGGAGACGAAGAAUAACUCGCGACCAAGAGCAUUGACACAUCAGGAUGAACAGGUGCAACAGUUUUAAGUUCCCCAGGAUAGUGGGGACGAAUGAUUUUAUUAUGCGCUUUAAAUCUCUGAGGUAUACAUGCUUCCCGAAAUUGGUGGCUUGCAUUGGAACUAACUUUUCCCCCCUUGUCCGUCAUUAAAGGCAUUCAAGUGUGUUGGUCAACCACGACUAUCUCCUUUGUCCCUCCACCAUAAGGCCUAGUUUCCCCUUAUGACAUCACUAUUUCGGACACUCAGCGCCCCAUUUCUGGAACGGUGUAUAGAAGGUCGUGGUUCUCAAUAGAAACAUACCUCAACCCGACAUCAACCAAUAAGAAAAGACAUUUGUUCCUAGGGGACAUUCCCAACUGCUACAUGGGACACGAAUCAUAUCAAGACUUGAGCGCCACCUGUUCCCACAUGUCGUGCCUGCAGAGCUUCUUGUAAGGAAAUAUCUUCUUGUAAAAGCACGUGUCAGUGAUUGUUAUUCAUCCACAUAUCAAGACAUCAAUGUGUUUGUAAGUUGAACAUUUGAAUUUGUCCUGAAAAUAUCAA
Molecule: long non-coding RNA, 863 nt
Organism: Lineus longissimus
Lineage: Eukaryota; Metazoa; Nemertea; Pilidiophora; Heteronemertea; Lineidae
Exons: 3
Source: RefSeq, a predicted model, not a curated record